CCUACGGGUGGCUGCAGUGGGGAAUAUUGCACAAUGGGGGAAACCCUGAUGCAGCGACGCCGCGUGAGUGAAGAAGUAUUUCGUUAUGUAAAGCUCUAUCAGCAGGGAAGAAAAUGACGGUAUCUGCGUAAUACGCCCCGGCUAACUCCGUGCCAGCAGCCGCGGUAAUACGUAGGGGGCAAGCGUUACCCGGAUUUACUGGGCGUAAAGGGUGCGUAGACGGGGGUGUAAGUCUGGGGUGAAAGGCGGGGGCUUAACUCCAGGACUGCCCUGGAAACUGUACGGCUGGAGUGCGGGAGAGGUAGGUGGAAUUCCUGGUGUAGCGGUAAAAUGCGUAGAGAUUAAGAGGAACACUAAUGGCGAAGGCGACUUGCUGGACUGUAACUGACGUUGAGGCACGAAAGCGUGGGGAGCAAACAGGAUUAGAUACCCGGGUAGUC
RNAcentral lists this ribosomal RNA (440 nucleotides) under uncultured bacterium. RNAcentral describes it as "partial 16S ribosomal RNA". It matches the Rfam family "Bacterial small subunit ribosomal RNA", at positions 338 to 795 of the family's 1533-position model. The record is from RNAcentral.